RNAcentral lists this long non-coding RNA (3973 nucleotides) under Cricetulus griseus (Chinese hamster). RNAcentral's name for it is "lncRNA (ENSCGRG00015037876.1)". The record is from RNAcentral. Lineage: Eukaryota; Metazoa; Chordata; Mammalia; Rodentia; Cricetidae.
GUUGUUUAUAUCAAGUCCUUUUAUUUUGAUACCACAGAAAUACCUUGUCACAAUACAGGGAGGGACACUGAAGUACCACGAGUUCUCACAGAGCACAAGAGGACGGCACACAAUUCACAAGGUCAUGUGGAGGACUCGGGUCAUUGCACUUACAACUGUAAACUUGUUGGUUUGACUUUGUACAGCACUCUUCCCCCUCAAGUAAAGAAGGAGAGAAGGAAAGAGAGGGAGGGAAAAGCAAAAACAAGACAUGGAAGCUAGAGGGGAAAAUGAAGAUGGCCACUGCUCUCCAGGGUUCCACACUUGGAGAGGAGCAGAUUUGACCCCAGAGGCUGAGUGAGUCUCGUGCACGCACAUACUCACAAAUACACACACACACACGCGCACACACACACACACACACACACACACACACACGCACGCACACACACUCAUGUACACGUGCUUACACACACAGUAUCUCACGACUUCUAUGGCUCUCCGGUGCCACCCGGCAUAUGGUAGCAAGGUGCUGGCACCCAGGCAGACAGAGAUGGCAUCUCCAGGCAGUUUCAGUUGAUUAGAUCUGUCCCUCUGACCUGUUGGAGUCCAUGGUGACAGAUAUUUACAGCAUGGGAAGAGAAGUGCUCAUAGGGCAGGACUGAACCAUCACGGCAAAGGGCCUGCCGGAGAAACUCCCUGUGUGCUCCAGAAUACAGGCUAGAAUUGCUGCCUUUGCUGUGCCUGAGACCACGUGCCCUACCCAAGGAAUCGGAAGGUAACAAUAGGAGGACUAUCACUAUGAAGUGAGUGUGUUGAGGCCUUGGGUAGGCAGAAGAGGGUUCCCUUGCUUAUGACACUGAGAGGGGGAAAUGGAGAAGGUCUGGACUCUACCCAGAGACUUCUUACCCAUUUGGAGAUACACUUAUUGCUUACCGUGUCCUACAGCAGCCAAUGAUGGUUCCCAAGUCUCCAGCUGUCAUAGCCCCAGAGUCAACACAAGGGCCAGGAUACCCACGACCUAGAAGACUAUUGCAGCCAUUUUCACAAAGGGCAAAGAUCUGUCCUGUCGGUACAGCCAGGGAUGUAGUGGCAGAUAUCGGAAAUGUCAAACUCAGAGUUUGGCCAGAAAAGAAAUUUGCUUAAAAGUUAAUACUUUAGAGCCUAGUGAGCCUGCCAGAGGUUGACCUGCAGACAUCCUGCCUACUCUCACCUGCUAGUCCAGUCCCUAGACUACGAAUGGAAAGGGUUACUGCCAUGAUCCCAAGUAUCUAAACGAUGGGCACAUCUGUAAAGACCUGGGCCUGUGUGACUGAGUUCCUCAAUGAUGGCCUUCUUGAUCCUUUGUUCAGAUGGCCCCAAAUAGCCCAGAUCUGAUCUCUGAAAUGUCCCAUAGCAUGAAGAAAGCCAAAUCCCAGGAACUCAGGAUCUUAAGCCUGACACAGCUUCAACUGUCCCAUUCAGAGCUGCCAAAGGUGGGACAGGAUUUGACUCUAAGGGAUUUGUAGGCCUUGCAAAAAAUCGUGAGAAAUGUGGACCCCUGAGAAAUGCGUGGUACAAAUGGAGCACUACAGAGGAAGGUCAGACCUCGAUGGGACAGGCAGUUACUGUCUGCCCUGCUCCUGUGUCAAGGAGAUGCUGAUAAAAGUGGAAUACUUCUGCUUCUGAGGAGAUGGUAGGCAAGUCCUGGGGACAGAUGUGGAGAGGGCUCACAGGCCCUUCAGUAAGUUUUGCUUUUUAGAAACCUCCUAAGCUCAGCUUGAAGCUGUUAUGUGAGUAGUUGUUCUGGAUGAUAUUGUUAGCCAAAGAGCCCACAGCCAGCCAGCCCUUCCUGGGCACCCUAAGACAUGGCUCCAGUUCAGAUCUCCUGGAUCACAGUCCUUUGAGAUUCUUCAUCACAAAAGAGAGACCUAGAGCAGGUUUAGUCAAGAUCUAGAGAUCCCGGGGCACAGCCAGACUCUGCUCUUGUCUUCUGCCUCUCCAAAGAUGUGGCCCAGCUUUGCCCUUGAACAGUGCCCCACUGCAAAGGGAUGGCAAGAUUCUUUUGGCUCAGGACUGGGGUAGGAGGGGAAAAUGAUAUACAAUUAGAAAUCCUACAGCAAACCCACAGAAUGUUUGUACACAUGCAUCCUGUGCAGGCUCCUAUCACCGUCUGUUCUGAGAUUUCUUUUUUAUCUGCUAUCGUGGACAGAUUAAAAACAACAACAACAACAGCAAGGUGUAUGGGGGCCUCACUGCCUGCUCCAUGGCCUGGCACACUCAGGCAGUUCUGGCAGGUCUUUACUAGCGUCUACAGAAGUCAGGGAGAAGUGCUCCUAAAGGAGAGGUUUGGAGGCAAAAAGAACUCCAAGCAAGAGGGUCGAGCAUUUAAAAUGAAUGAAAUCGUGCAGGGAGGCUUCGAGCUGUGCAUGCUCCACUGCGAGACAGGCGGUGCCUCACCUGGCAGCAGCGAGUCCUGCCACAGGUCAAACAUGCCACAGACUUAGAAUUUACACACACACACACACACACACACACACACACACACACACACACACACGGGCACACAUGCAUGCUCUUACUUUCUCUGUCUCUCACACACACACAGAAAGUGGGAACAAGGAUUGAUUGGGGUGGUGAUAUGAGCAGAUCUAUCCAGUUUCUCAACUGCAUGUUUGCAAUUAACUCUUUAUAUGUAACAUGGAAUUUAUUAAAUAUUAACAGUUGUCUUUGAGGGUUUAUAUUUCAUUGCAUAGAACAUUAGAGAUGAGACUUGUGGCUGUGCCCAAGAUGAAGGGAGGCCUCCAAGGGAAGGGCUUUGGGGAGGCAUGCAGCCCAGUCCACCAGGUGAAUGGACAAGAGUCACACUCCCCUUACCCUACAAGGCUCUGAGCCUUUCCCUUGGCCGGUGCAGAAGUUCUCUGCUCUGAGCACACCCACUGCUGAUGGCUUAAGAAGGACUGGAAUUGCACAGUAAACAGGCGGGCUGAGGGGCCUCCCUAGACCUCGCCCUGGGUUUGUGCUCUUGGUGGCCUGCUGCCUGCUAUUGCUUCUAAAUCAACAUUUCUCCCUGUGCUGAGCAGGGGCAGAGCAGAGAGGAAACCAAACCAUCAGUCACAAGGUGGUGGAGGGGGGACACAAAGGGAUAAAAGCAAAGAAAAGAAAGGGAGAGAAAGAAAAAUAAAACAAAAAAAAUGUUCAUGAGGUAUACAUGUAAAUCAAACUGGAAUGAUUAAGGCUGUUCUUGAAAUCAAAAGAAAUCCCCAGGUGUACAGACGAGGAGCCGGCUGGUUGAGACAAUGGUGGUGCUGCUGGGAUGCUCACAAUGGCUGGGGGGGAUGGCUUUAAGAUAAUGGCAGGCAUGUCUAGUAUGCUGCCAUCCACGGGCUGGGAGAAGCCUCAGCCGGUGCCCACGCUGCUUUUCGGUGCUAUGGCCUCUUAUUUCAGCGAUGAGACAGUGUUAGGUCCUAAUGUUUGUAAAGUUCUCCCAAACCCGUGCUGGCCAUGUGGAGGUCUGCUCCAAUGUCACCCAGAGGGCAGGGUGAAGGGGGCAAGGCCUUAUGGCCACAGAGGGAUCCGGGCCAGCUGGAAUGUGAAGGAAACGGAGCCUAGGGCCCCCAGCCCUCAGUCAAAGCCCCUCUCCAAGGCUGUGGAAAAACUUCUGGCAUCUUAGAGGGAGGGCAGUGUGCACCCAAACUCUGUGUAUAACGCAUUGGAAGCCUGGCUACCAGGCCACAGGAGGCUGUGGGAAGAACAGCAGAUAGCCACAGCAGCAACAGUGUUCUGGUGAGGGCUCCUCUCUCCCAAGGACGGCUGGCCUGAGGAAGGCAGGGUCUCUGGAAAGACAAUGAAAGGUCCCCCAAGCCAAAGGUCCCACUGGUCCAGCAGAUGCUUCACUUGGGUAGCUGCUGUUAGAACACAUCCUGUGCUCUGCUGAGGCCUGCCUGCUGUGGCCCACCUGGUGUGAAUCUUUGGGCCAAGGGUUUGCCAGAUUGUAGAUGCUUUGAAAAGAUGA